GCCUCUCCCUCUGUGUGUGCUCUCUCCCUCUCCGCCCUGGAGCCUGGCUGAUGACCCGCACCUGUGUCUCAUCAACCUCCACCUCCGCCCGCCACACCUGCCUGCCAUCAGCCUCAUCUUCAACAGUAUUUCUACCCCGGUUCUCCACUCCAUCUUCGCUUGAUCGUCGUCGCUCCAGUCCUGGUCCACUCACCUCCGCCAUCCAGUUAGUCAGCCGGGCUUGCCUACCUGCCUUCUCCCCUCGCCUCGGCCUCCAGCCCCCUCUCAGUCGCCUUGCUCGAGCCUUGCCAGCCCCGCCUGCUCCUCGGCCCUCUGUGCCCACGUCUGCCGGCGUCCUGUUCACCUCAUCUCACCUCCCGACUCCCCUUUUUCCCUCAAUAAACCUCUUUUGUAAACUGA
This is a long non-coding RNA of Micropterus salmoides (largemouth bass), 399 nucleotides long. RefSeq lists it as uncharacterized. NCBI's taxonomy places the organism in Eukaryota, Metazoa, Chordata, Actinopteri, Centrarchiformes, Centrarchidae. The transcript has 2 exons. The record is from RefSeq and is a predicted model, not a curated record.